Cicer arietinum (chickpea) is the source of this 310-nucleotide long non-coding RNA. RefSeq lists it as uncharacterized. The record is from RefSeq and is a predicted model, not a curated record. Lineage: Eukaryota; Viridiplantae; Streptophyta; Magnoliopsida; Fabales; Fabaceae.
AGAUGUUAAUGAUAUAAUACAAGCUGCAAGACAGGUUCCUGAUGCUACUAGUGCUCAAAACCAUUUGAAUUCACUUAGUCCAAACAACAACGAAAAUAAUGAAAAUGGUGAAGAUUAAAAGCUAAUUUGUUGUUGAAGAUGGAAUAUUGGCAAUUUAGUGGACUCAAUUUCUUAAUCUUUUUUGAGAUUGUUAUGUAUGACACAAGAUGUCUAUUUUAAAUGUCUAUUUUUUGAGGUUAAGGGUUUUGUUUUAUCGUUGUAAGACUUUUAUAUUAAUUUUUAAUAUAUACAAUGAACACCUUUUAUUUUA